RNAcentral lists this ribosomal RNA (458 nucleotides) under Klebsiella pneumoniae. Its description in RNAcentral is "bacterial SSU rRNA". It matches the Rfam family "Bacterial small subunit ribosomal RNA", at positions 1 to 457 of the family's 1533-position model. Lineage: Bacteria; Pseudomonadati; Pseudomonadota; Gammaproteobacteria; Enterobacterales; Enterobacteriaceae. The record is from RNAcentral.
AAAUUGAAGAGUUUGAUCAUGGCUCAGAUUGAACGCUGGCGGCAGGCCUAACACAUGCAAGUCGAGCGGUAGCACAGAGAGCUUGCUCUCGGGUGACGAGCGGCGGACGGGUGAGUAAUGUCUGGGAAACUGCCUGAUGGAGGGGGAUAACUACUGGAAACGGUAGCUAAUACCGCAUAAUGUCGCAAGACCAAAGUGGGGGACCUUCGGGCCUCAUGCCAUCAGAUGUGCCCAGAUGGGAUUAGCUAGUAGGUGGGGUAACGGCUCACCUAGGCGACGAUCCCUAGCUGGUCUGAGAGGAUGACCAGCCACACUGGAACUGAGACACGGUCCAGACUCCUACGGGAGGCAGCAGUGGGGAAUAUUGCACAAUGGGCGCAAGCCUGAUGCAGCCAUGCCGCGUGUGUGAAGAAGGCCUUCGGGUUGUAAAGCACUUUCAGCGGGGAGGAAGGCGGUGA